GACGAACGCUGGCGGCGUGCUUAACACAUGCAAGUCGAACGGUGAAGGGGUCUGCUUUUGUGGGCCCUGGAUGAGUGGCGAACGGGUGAGUAACACGUGAGUAACCUGCCCCCUUCUUCUGGAUAACCGCAUGAAAGUGUGGCUAAUACGGGAUAUUCUGGGUCUGCCGCAUGAUGGGUCUGGGAAAGAUUGCGCCUUUGGGUGUUUUUGGUGGGGGAUGGGCUCGCGGCCUAUCAGCUUGUUGGUGGGGUGAUGGCCUACCAAGGCGGUGACGGGUAGCCGGCCUGAGAGGGUGGACGGUCACACUGGGACUGAGACACGGCCCAGACUCCUACGGGAGGCAGCAGUGGGGAAUAUUGCACAAUGGGCGCAAGCCUGAUGCAGCGACGCCGCGUGAGGGAUGGAGGCCUUCGGGUUGUAAACCUCUUUCGCCAGUGAAGCAGGCCUGCUCCUUGUGGGUGGGUUGACGGUAGCUGGAGAAGAAGCGCCGGCUAACUACGUG
Molecule: ribosomal RNA, 502 nt
Filed under: uncultured bacterium
Lineage: Bacteria
Description: partial 16S ribosomal RNA
Rfam family: Bacterial small subunit ribosomal RNA
Source: RNAcentral